RNAcentral lists this transfer RNA (835 nucleotides) under Pinocchia polymorpha E10. Its description in RNAcentral is "16S-23S ribosomal RNA intergenic spacer". The stretch from base 218 to 291 matches the Rfam family "tRNA". The record is from RNAcentral. Lineage: Bacteria; Bacillati; Cyanobacteriota; Cyanophyceae; Leptolyngbyales; Trichocoleusaceae.
UUUAGGGAGACCUACCCUAUCAAACACCGAAACACACUGUUUAAACACACUGUUUGAAGUUCAGGUAAUACCUGAGGUUCAGGCAAUUACAAACUGGAAUAGGAGUUGAUAAGGUCAUCCCAAGGUCGUUAGGAUUUUCUUGAUGGAGACCUUCAAGCUGAUCUAGGUUUUACUUCAGAUUGGAAUUGAGUAGAGUCUGGGGUAGAAGGAGCUACGCGGGCUAUUAGCUCAGGUGGUUAGAGCGCACCCCUGAUAAGGGUGAGGUCCCUGGUUCGAGUCCAGGAUGGCCCACCUUCAAUAAGUAAGCAUUGGAACCCAGGUAAAUUGAUUAAUUGCUGCCCGAGUGAAAGGGGAGUAAGUAAUUGCUGGGUUGAGGUGUGAACAAUUGAAGAGAAGAGAGAAGAUUCAGCAAUUUCUUUAGAUUAUUCGAAGAGGAUAACUAGAGAGCCUGCUGGGUGAGAACUCAGUAUCUGAGUGAGGAACUCAGGUGAGGACCUUGAAAACUGCAUAGAGAAGAAAGAGUAAGUCAGGUAGAACAUUGUUAUUGGGCCUGAGUUCUGCUGAGAGUUAAAGCCAGGGAAGGUUAGCGAUAACCCGACCCGGGUGAUGACGGAGGCAAGAGAUUCAGAGACAUUCAGUCAAUUAAUUGGAGUUGACUGAGUGAACUAAUAACAAAUUUACAGACACCAAUGAAACUCAAGUAAUGAAACUGGGGCGAAGCGACUCAAGGAAUUGAGAUUCAAGGAAUUGAGAUUCAAGGAAUUGAGAUUCAAGGAAUUGAGAUUCAAGGAAUUGAGGAUGAGGCGCAGUAGUUUCGAGCAAAGAAUUACCUAGU